AAAAUAAGUAGGGAAGCACGUGAGCUGACUGUCAAGAAAAGCCGCUAUUGUUUGCAGGAUACCCGUACCGUAAACCGACACAGGUGGAUGAGGAGAGAAUCCUAAGGCCGACGGGAGAAGCAUUGUUAAGGAACUCGGCAAAAUGACUCCGUAACUUCGGGAGAAGGAGUGCCAGUAAGAUGGCCGCAGAGAAUUGGCCCAAGCAACUGUUUAGCAAAAACACAGGUCUAUGCAAAACCGAAAGGUGAGGUAUAUGGGCUGACGCCUGCCCGGUGCUGGAAGGUUAAGGGGAGAGGUUAGCGCAAGCGAAGCUUUGAACUUAAGCCCCAGUAAACGGCGGCCGUAACGAUAACGGUCCUAAGGUAGCGAAAUUCCUUGUCGGGUAAGUUCCGACCCGCACGAAAGGCGUAAUGAUUUGGGCACUGUCUCAACAAUGCACCCGGUGAAAUUGAAAUACCAGUGAAGAUGCUGGUUACCUGCGCCAGGACGGAAAGACCCCAUGGAGCUUUACUCCAGCUUGAUACUGGGAUUCGGUAUUGCAUGUACAGGAUAGGUGGGAGGCUAGGAAAUGGUAACGCCAGUUGCCAUGGAGCCAAUGUUGGGAUACCACCCUUGCAGUACUGGGUUUCUAACCAGCAGCCGUGAUCCGGCUGGGGGACAAUGUCAGGUGGGGAGUUUGACUGGGGCGGUCGCCUCCGAAAGGGUAUCGGAGGCGCUCAAAGGUUCCCUCAGAAUGGUUGGAAACCAUUCGAAGAGUGCAAAGGCAGAAGGGAGCUUGACUGCGACACCGACGGGUGGAGCAGGUACGAAAGUAGGACUUAGUGAUCCGGUGGUAUAAAGUGGGAUUGCCAUCGCUCAACGGAUAAAAGCUACCCUGGGAUAACAGGCUUAUCACUCCCAAGAGUUCACAUCGACGGAGUGGUUUGGCACCUCGAUGUCGGCUCAUCGCAUCCUGGGGCUGAAGUAGGUCCCAAGGGUUGGGCUGUUCGCCCAUUAAAGCGGUACGCGAGCUGGGUUCAGAACGUCGUGAGACAGUUCGGUCCCUAUCCGGCGUGGGCGUAAGAUAUUUGAGAGGAGCUGUCCUUAGUACGAGAGGACCGGGAUGGACUGGCCGCUGGUGUAUCUGUUGUCUUACCAAAGGCAUAGCAGAGUAGCCAAGCCGGGAAGGGAUAAACGCUGAAGGCAUCUAAGCGUGAAGCCCCCCUCAAGAUGAGAUAUCUCAUAACGUCAAGUUAGUAAGACCCCUUGAAGACGACGAGGUAGAUAGGGCAGAGGUGGAAGUGUGGUAACACAUGGAGCUGACUGUUACUAAUAGGUCGAGGGCAUAAUC
Molecule: ribosomal RNA, 1330 nt
Filed under: metagenome
Description: bacterial LSU rRNA
Rfam family: Bacterial large subunit ribosomal RNA
Source: RNAcentral